UGCCUCUACUCCAAUUCCAUGUGCUUUGCAGGGCUCAGCCCUCACACCUUUCCUCGUAGAAGAGAGAAUAAUUAAUGUCGUGACUCCUUGGCGUGGUAGCUAGAGCCCUGCUGUCAUCAGCAGUGCCCCAAACGCAGCAGGAACACGUACGGUAUUUCAAAGCCCAGGCAGGCAGAGAAGCGGGAAGGAACUGGUGGCGUGAUUUGACUUGCGGGAGCUCCCCGGCGCAGCCAGUAGGAGGCCCAAGCUAGGCGAAGAGAGGGUCGUGGGGAAGCGGGGCGCUCCCAGGACUCGUCACUGGGUUGGAGCUGGCCCGCUUGUGUGGCUCCAGUUCCAGGAAGGCCGGGUGGCGUGGGGCUGUCUUUUAAGCGGCCGUUUGGAAGAAGAACCUCUGGCGGAGAGGUGCUGAGGCAGGCUGGACUGUGAUCCUGCACGACCGGCGGCCUAAGGGGAGGUAAUUGGGGACCGCGAGCUGACACUGCGGAAAAGAAAAUAUCGGUGUGGAAAUGGAUGUGGACGCAGUGCUGCUGCCUGAGAUUAGCAGGAAGCAAUUCUUUUCCCAUUUGGAGAGACCCCAGUGAGACCUGAUCAACUAGCAACAUGCGGAAGUCACACCAUUAAAUCUUCCAGUUUGCUAGCAGCAAAUCAAUGAACUCUGAUAGCUGCUGCCCUAAGCUAGCAUCCAGGGAACUGUGGACAAGCUAUUUGAUACCUGAAUUUUAGUGAAGGAAAGUUAAAUUUUUUCUUAAAGCAGGGCGGGAGUGGGGUUGUGUGGGGAAGAUUGUAUUAAGCAGUGAGAGAAGACAGUUGGAGUUUUGUAGAAAGAGAACUGGUUGUUUUAAAUUGUAUCUUAAAUUUAUUGUAGAGCUAUUGGUAAUCAGUGUUUUGUUUUUGUGUGUUUAUAUCAACCAAUUAAUAAGAAAGGCUUUUAUUUUUAUUUCAUUAAUUGUAGCUGAACUUUAUUUUUUAUUAUAAAUAUAAGGCAUUAUUCUAGGGCCUGGCAAACAUUGGCAGCCCCUUUUUUUUCUGAGCAAGAUUAUACCUUGGUAUGUUUUCACCACCAGAAGAUGAAAAUUUGAGAACAGUGAGAGACAGAUGCUUGCCUGAGGAGUUUUAUUUUCCCUUUAAUCCUUACCAAAUAUACAGAUAUUACCUAUAUUGCCUUGAUCUGCUGUCUGAAGGUGGGUUUCUUCGAUUGUUUGAAGAAUUUUGGGCACUAGAGGUGCUUACUUUGUGAUGGGAGCAAAUAACAAGGUGUUGCCCAUGACAUGGUCAAGCCUCAUCUUCAAUUAGCCACCUAUCUUGGACAUGUUUUCAUAGAGGUAUAUCUCAUCCCUUUUAAUAACUGCAGAAUCUUGGACAUUUAGAGGUCUCCAAAUAUUGGUUGUCAUUUAUGGUGAUUCUUGUUUUUGUUAUUAUGAUAAUGUUGCAAUAAAUAUCCUAGCAACCUAUUUUUGCUUACA
Molecule: non-coding RNA, 1463 nt
Organism: Macaca mulatta (Rhesus monkey)
Lineage: Eukaryota; Metazoa; Chordata; Mammalia; Primates; Cercopithecidae
Source: RefSeq, a predicted model, not a curated record